This 472-nucleotide ribosomal RNA is filed under the name uncultured bacterium. Its description in RNAcentral is "bacterial SSU rRNA". It matches the Rfam family "Bacterial small subunit ribosomal RNA", at positions 355 to 825 of the family's 1533-position model. The record is from RNAcentral.
UGGGGAAUUUUGGACAAUGGGGGCAACCCUGAUCCAGCCAUGCCGCGUGAGUGAAGAAGACCUUCGGGUUGUAAAGCUCCUUCGGCGGGGACGAAACGGUCCGUGACAACACCACGGACUAAUGACAGUACUCGCAGAAGAAGCACCGGCUAACUACGUGCCAGCAGCCGCGGUAAUACGUAGGGUGCAGGCGUUAAUCGGAAUUACUGGGCGUAAAGCGUGCGCAGGCGGCUCCUUAAGUCAGAUGUGAAAUCCCCGGGCUUAACCUGGGAACUGCGUUUGAAACUGAGGGGCUAGAGUGUGGAAGAGGGGGGUGGAAUUCCAGGUGUAGCAGUGAAAUGCGUAGAGAUCUGGAGGAACACCGAUGGCGAAGGCAGCCCCCUGGGCUAACACUGACGCUCAUGCACGAAAGCGUGGGGAGCAAACAGGAUUAGAUACCCCAGUAGUCCCUGAGCGGGCUGGCAAGGCGCAU